This is a long non-coding RNA of Pocillopora damicornis (cauliflower coral), 1487 nucleotides long. The record is from RefSeq and is a predicted model, not a curated record. Lineage: Eukaryota; Metazoa; Cnidaria; Anthozoa; Scleractinia; Pocilloporidae.
CGUCAAAUUUAUGCUUGCUCGGAGAGACUGGACCGACACACGAGGCUUCCAAGAUGGCGGCCGAGGAGGUGACAUUACUUAGUCAAAUCUGAGUGUUUCUUUGAAAGCACGGUGACGAGUAAAGAAUACCGAUAAGCGAUAAGUGUUUCAAUUCUGUGUUGUGUUAAGUGCAGCGUAGUUUUGUUCAGUUUUGUUUUUGUUUUGUGUGUAUUGGGCAUGUGUUGAUAUUGUAGUUACUAUGUGUAGUUGUUGUGAUGUGUACUGUGUUUUGUAAUGAUUUUUAAAUUCACAGAGCGAUGAUUAAACUAGAGAAAUGAGCUUCAAACAUUUUUCGUUUGAUAAUGAUUGUUAACACUUGAUUUCUGAGCUCUGUGACCGAAGUGGGAAUUUUUUUACAGUGUAAUUAAUGGAAAGGUUUCCGCAUAACCCCUUACUAUUCUAAAAAAAAUUGUUCCAAAGGCAAUCUAUUUUUUACCAGCUUUUUCUCUAUCUUAGGAAUGUAUGCGGGUGUCUGGAAAAAUGAGACCUAAGACCACACACUCAGGAAACUAAAACCUGACUAAUUUCAGUUUGAGAAUUCUCCAAUAUAGAUUCUACAAUCUAAAUCUUGGUCUGCACAAGCCAAAUUCCUCUCCUCUCCAUCUCUACGUCACGCUUUGCCUCACGGUUGUUCAAUAAUAUUUGCAUUGUGACGCAGUGAGCAUGUGUUUACAGGUUUUCCUCUCGGUUGUAUUAGAUAACAAACUUCUGUCAGUUUUCUGCCCCAGAACAAUAUAUUUCAGAACGCAUUUAAUGUGACCGCGAGAUUUUGUGAUCAAACAGUGAAUUCACAUAGUUUUCUUUUAUCUCAGGAAGCACAGCUUUAUUGUCCUCAAAAGUGUUACUGAUUGUAUGGGGCUGUGUGGAAAUAUUUCCCAGUUAGUUCUAAUAUAGUGGUAACUGUUAUGGUAUGAUAGGCUCUUUUUAUGUUGUAAGCUCAGUAUUGGAUUUAAUUUUGGGUCAAACAACAAGGCCCAGGCUGGAAAGAGGCUCUCAGUUAGGAAAAUGUAUUUCUCAUUAUUGAUGGGUAAGAAAGUUCACACAUCAGGUCAGUCUAGAGAGUCUCUAGAAGACCCAUUCAUUUUUCUUUUUGGUUUUCUACCGGUAAACAGUGGUACAGCAGUGCAAAAUAUAUUUUCUUUGUGUUGAAGCUGCACUUAGAAUAAAAGCACAUCAAGCUGUAGUUAGCAUGUCUCAUAGGACUUCAUUCAAUGGUUUUGUUUUUUUUUUUCAAAGAAAAGUUUGAUACUGACCCAAAUAGUAGACACACAAGAAACUUAACAGAACACUAACAUCUUUGAAAAGUCUUUGUUUAUUCACAUUUGGGUGGUGAAGCUUCAUCACGUGUUGUUCACAUCAAGGUAGAGAAAGUUACAUGGCUGAAUGAGACUUUGUCAGAUGUAUGACGUACUCUUUGAAUACUAUUAGUAAUAUGAAUAGUAAAGUUC